AAGAAAAUGUGGGAGAUGAGGAUUUACUGAUGAAGAAACUUUUAGAAAUUUCCUACUGCCAAAGAUGCAAACAUGUGACAUUUAUGAAAGGGUAAACAAAACUAUUUGGGAGUCUGAGAACUUUCUUUUCAUUUUGGUCCUGGGAAAACUUGGAAAUUAUAUGCUUUUGUAGAAAAUGAUUUGGUUUUAACCUCAGAAAUGUGUAUGAGAGUUAGGGAUUUUCCUUGUUUUGGAACUUGUGAAUGAUAUAUCAUUUGUUUAAAGAUGAUAAGAAUAGUUUAAAUGACAAGACGAUCUGGGACAAUUUAGGAAUACUCAUUUUUUAAAAAAGAUUUUAUUUAUUUAUUAGAGAGAGAGAGAGAGGCAGAGACAAAGGCAGAGGGAGAAGCAGGCUCCAUGCAGGGAGCCCGACGUGGGACUUGAUCCUGGGUCUCUAGGAUCACACCCUGGGCUGAAGGCCACACUAAACCGCUAAGCCACGGGGGCUGCCCAGGAAUACUCAUUUUUAAAAAAGAUUUUAUGUAUUUAUUUGAGAGAGAGAGAGAGAGAAGAAGCAGGGGGAACGGAAGAAGGAAAGGGCGACACAGACUCCCCAUUGAGCAGGGGCCAGAUGUGGGGCCCCAUCCCAGGACCCCGGGAUCAUGACCUGGGCUGAAGGCAGUCACUUAACUGACUGAGCCACUCAGGUGCCCCAGAAAACUCAUUUAAAAGCAUAAACUGUGUAAACUUCCAUGUAAUAAUUUUGGUUAUAGAGACUAGUUCUCUCUUUUCUGGCUACGUCCUCUCAGUUUAAUUCAUUAGACUUUAAAAAUUUUCCCUUUUCUAUAAUUUUCAUUAUUAAAAACUCUCCCUUUUUUCUUUUCUUUUAGUGCCCUGGUUCUCAAUCACACUGCUUCAAAGAAUGAAGAGGUAGACCAGACAAAGAGUGGUGGACAGCAUAGCAAAGUUUCUGACAGUAAAGUUUAUUGAAUGAUUGUACAAAGCUCCCAAAGAGGGAAGGGACCGGAGAGGGUUACCUUAUACUUUUUUCUCUUCAUUCUCCUCCUCUUGAUAAUUUUCUUCCACUUCUCAUUACUGAGUUAUAUAUGUUUUUAUUAUGUCUCAGCACUUGGCAUGAAGUUGUUGACGUCAAAUCCUCUUAACCAUAUUCGAGAGAUUGAUAAUUGUGCUCUUUUAGUAAUGACGGAAUGCAGCACCAACACAUACUCCUCAUAUAAUCAGCUCACUCCCAUAAUUGCAAUAAACUCUAUUCUGAAAUGUUAUCUAUUGAGAACCAUAAAACUUUUAAACCGCCAAGAGGACAUUUGCUACACUUAA
This 1317-nucleotide long non-coding RNA is filed under the name Canis lupus familiaris (dog). Its description in RNAcentral is "lncRNA (ENSCAFG00000046742.2, ENSCAFG00030022479.1, ENSCAFG00845018024.1)". The record is from RNAcentral. Lineage: Eukaryota; Metazoa; Chordata; Mammalia; Carnivora; Canidae.